UUGUACCAAUGUAGCCCCUGAUGUGUUUGCAAUAGAGAAAGACUUUGGAAGAGUUAGGGUAUAUAGCCAAUGUGGGAACCCUGAAUUAGUUUAGCAGGCGAUCGACAAUUGCCCUGUGGACUGCAUUCAUUGGACAUCUGCUGCACAACUAUCAUUACUUGAAGAUGAAAUGCGUCGAAUAGAAAGAGUCAACGUAAGGCCUUUACUAUAAAGUUUUUGUGGAUAGUGCUGGGCUAGUUCUCAAUGGGAAAAGAGAUAAUCGAAAGUCUUGUCAGGAGAUGCCAAGAUCAACUUUAUGU
This is a non-coding RNA of Arachis ipaensis, 299 nucleotides long. The record is from RefSeq and is a predicted model, not a curated record. Lineage: Eukaryota; Viridiplantae; Streptophyta; Magnoliopsida; Fabales; Fabaceae.